CCUACGGGAGGCAGCAGUGGGGAAUAUUGGACAAUGGACGAAAGUCUGAUCCAGCAAUACCGCGUGAGUGAUGAAGGCCCUAGGGUUGUAAAGCUCUUUCAGUAGGGAAGAUAAUGACGGUACCUACAGAAGAAGCACCGGCUAACUCCGUGCCAGCAGCCGCGGUAAUACGGAGGGUGCAAGCGUUGUUCGGAAUUACUGGGCGUAAAGCGCGCGUAGGCGGUUAAGAAAGUUGGAAGUGAAAUCCCAGGGCUCAACCUUGGAACUGCUUUCAAAACUUCUUAACUCGAGUAUGGUAGGGGAUAGUGGAAUUCCUAGUGUAGGGGUGAAAUCCGUAGAUAUUAGGAGGAACACCAGAAGCGAAGGCGACUAUCUGGGCCAUUACUGACGCUAAGGCGCGAAAGCGUGGGGAGCGAACGGGAUUAGAUACCCCGGUAGUCCACGCCGUAAACGAUGAGUGCUAGUUAUUGGGGCUUUUUGCUUCGGUGACGCAGCUAACGCGUUAAGCACUCCGCCUGGGGAGUACGGUCGCAAGAUUUAAACUCAAAUGAAUUGACGG
This 559-nucleotide ribosomal RNA is filed under the name uncultured bacterium. RNAcentral describes it as "bacterial SSU rRNA". It matches the Rfam family "Bacterial small subunit ribosomal RNA", at positions 338 to 916 of the family's 1533-position model. The record is from RNAcentral.